Molecule: non-coding RNA, 248 nt
Organism: Cinara cedri
Lineage: Eukaryota; Metazoa; Arthropoda; Insecta; Hemiptera; Aphididae
Source: the annotation of a GenBank genome assembly
UUUUUCCAUUUCGUUAGUUUUGUUUAUUAUUAAUAGGAAAAAUAUAUGUUCAUCAAGUGCGUCAAUUGUAUAGUUUUAUUUUUCAAUAGGACGUGCUACUUAUCGUAUUUAAGGGGUUUUAAUGUAAUUUUCUCAACAAUUUCAACAAAAUAAAAAUUGAAUUUUAUCGACACAGAAUUAUCGAAUUCACUUAACCAUACAUUAAAAAUAUUCCCGUGUCAUAAUUAUAAGUAGUUAUUAAGAAGUUG